AAAUGGGGCAACUUGGGGACAGUCAUGGUCAAGGUCAGUGUAUUCCUAAUAAGGAUGCCCUGACUGGCUCAUUAAAGGUCUUCACUGUUUUCAGAGAAGAUCUCCCCCUCCUUGAAUAGGUCUGGAAAACAGAGUUGAAAAUAUGUCUCCCGGUAGACUAUCAAUGGCAGCGGACUACCUUGACCUGAAAUGAACUAUGCCUUUCUGCAACAUCUUCUAUAAACAAACUGAGACCAGAGACUCUUAUCUGUGUAUCCUUCAUGGUCUCCGGAGCACUGUGGGCACAGGGCCCCUGUUAAUGAACAGAUGACCAGGAGGAUUUAGAUGGCCUUCAUGACCUUGGCAGUGAUUCUCAAGUUUCUGGAUCCAGUGUCUGAUGCCCCACCCAGGAUUCCUUUUCUUCAUUUGAAAAACAGAGAGACCAAACUGAAGGACUUCCAAGGUCCCUCCAGCUUUAGGAUCUCACCAUUCCAUAAAGCUAACUGACCAUGAAGUUGCAGAGCAUGUGGCAGUGAUUUUCCCAGAAGGUCAAAGUCCUUCCAGCAAUUUGUUUUGUAGGAGUAGCACUGACAUUUAUGUGUGUAACAAAGAAUGGUGGGUGUAAACUACAUUAAAUAGAAAUAAUUGAAUCCCCAUACCCAGUUAAUAUACAAGAUUCUUUCCAAUCAGGCAGCCACAGAUCUUUUUUCUUGAAGAAUGGAAAAAACCAAGCACGAUUCUUCAUUAAGACAUAAUCAACCAUCGCAGGGAAAAGAUUAAAUUUGACAUUAUAAAUAUUUGGUCUUUAAA
Molecule: long non-coding RNA, 789 nt
Organism: Antechinus flavipes (yellow-footed antechinus)
Lineage: Eukaryota; Metazoa; Chordata; Mammalia; Dasyuromorphia; Dasyuridae
Exons: 3
Source: RefSeq, a predicted model, not a curated record